GGGGAAUUUUCCGCAAUGGGCGAAAGCCUGACGGAGCAAUACCGCGUGAGGGAAGACUGCCUAUGGGUUGUAAACCUCUUUUUUCAGGGAGGAAUAAAUGACGUGUACCUGAAGAAUAAGCAUCGGCUAACUCCGUGCCAGCAGCCGCGGUAAGACGGAGGAUGCAAGUGUUAUCCGGAAUCACUGGGCGUAAAGCGUCUGUAGGUGGUCAAAUAAGUCAACUGUUAAAUCUUGAGGCUCAACCUCAAAAUCGCAGUCGAAACUAUUAGACUAGAGUAUAGUAGGGGUAAAGGGAAUUUCCAGUGGAGCGGUGAAAUGCGUAGAUAUUGGAAAGAACACCGAUGGCGAAGGCACUUUACUGGGCUAUUACUAACACUGAGAGACGAAGGCUAGGGUAGCAAAUGGGAUUAGAUACCCCAGUAGUC
RNAcentral lists this ribosomal RNA (425 nucleotides) under uncultured cyanobacterium. Its description in RNAcentral is "bacterial SSU rRNA". It matches the Rfam family "Bacterial small subunit ribosomal RNA", at positions 356 to 795 of the family's 1533-position model. The record is from RNAcentral. Lineage: Bacteria; Bacillati; Cyanobacteriota.